RNAcentral lists this long non-coding RNA (1594 nucleotides) under Accipiter nisus (Eurasian sparrowhawk). RNAcentral describes it as "lncRNA (ENSANIG00000011844.1)". The record is from RNAcentral. Lineage: Eukaryota; Metazoa; Chordata; Aves; Accipitriformes; Accipitridae.
AAAGGCACAUUUGUCUAAAACAUGCUCUACAGUGAAAUUUGUAUCUAUAGAUCUCAUUUGGUAAAAUCUUGCAUCAUCCCUUCUAGUUGGUUCAACACCACAAAAAAUUGGUUUAACCUAUGGUAGCUGACAGAUGCAGAGAUGAGCCAUGGACCUGCAGUUCCCUGAUGCCCAGGUGCUCUUGUCCUGUUAGGGCAAGUCUGAACUUUCAAGGCUGGUGUUGAGUCACACCCAACCAAGCGGUGAAGGUCUAGACCACAUGUGAGCCCUCAGAGGGCUCUUGCUAAAAGUCUUAAAGUACUCCCAUGAGAAAUAGCACUCCUAAGGGCUGAAGAAAUGAUCCUGUGGCGUAACUUUACUGUAAGUAGAUUGAAUCAUCUUCCUUUCAUUUCUUAAUCUCUGGAUUUUACAAAUAUCUGUAACUGUGUUGUCUGUUUCGAAUGUCAUGAAUCAGUGCUUGCAUUUUUAUUUUUACCUUAAUCCAUCUUGUGCUAUAUGUGAUCUAAGAGUUCCGGAUAUCUGCCCAUCUACCUGACACACGAUAUUGUGAGCCUGCAAAUUAUGACCCUGGGGUUUCCCAGCACACCUGUCAGCACUCAUCAGAGGACAGAAGAGGUGUUGACAGCCUGCUCCAUGACCAACAUCAGCAGUGUAGGAAGAAUGCUGCCCACCUUCCCUGUAAGCAGACGCAUUGCUUCUGGCAUAAGACUUACAGCGCUCUCUUGAAGCAGUUUUUAUCAGUCAUUGUCUGGUAUAUCAUUGGAAGCUGCUGUCGCCUCACUUUGCUCAGUGGCACCUGGGAGAUGUCUCCGUUUCUCAGUGAAAGGAAAACUCCUGGCUCUUCACAGUCAUCUUCUCACUGAACUUAACUCAAUUAUCCUUAUUUCUUUUGAACAUGAAUGACAUCAUACUUGUCAAAAUGCAUGACUCCUGAAUUUGAGUCUGAAUUUAUUUCUUUGAAUGGUUAAGUGCUAUAUGAAAUACAUCAGUGGGGUCUAUAGUCAAUUCUUGUUAGAGGUAAGUGAAAACAACUUAUUCCAAAUUGUUACGUGUUUUAGUUGAGCAAAGAACCAUAAUCCUACAUCAAGGAAAAGAUAUUCUAGAUCCAAACAACUGACACUUUGUUGGUGUCUCACACAGAAGUUGUGAAGAGUCUCAGAGCUGAGACUACCUCCUGCAUCUCUGGAGAAAUAAUGGAUCACUAAACCAAGUAGCAUCCAUUGCACUACCUAAUCAUUCAGUUUAACAGUGAUGUGAACAUUAUGGAUAGACAGAGAAGAACAUAGUGUGACAGAUGUAAAAGUCAGCUGAAUUGUCAGCCAUGUGACAAUGUAGAGACUUUUAUUUACUGCCCGUGAAUUCUGUUUGACAGAGGAAGUUGUUAAGAGAACACAGUAUUUUUGAAUGCCUGUGUAAAAGUAUUUAUCUAACACUGCAAAUGAAUGUAGAUGAAAUUCCUCUUCACCUGCCAACCAGGAAAGUGUGUUGUUAAAACUUGUGGGCCACCUACAGAAACACUCUUGGUCAAGGGAUUAAAUGGAGUAAGAAGAGUUGAUUUCCUUUUUCUCAUCUGAAGAGAGAGGGCUGGAGAAAU